Molecule: ribosomal RNA, 253 nt
Filed under: uncultured bacterium
Lineage: Bacteria
Description: partial 16S ribosomal RNA
Rfam family: Bacterial small subunit ribosomal RNA
Source: RNAcentral
GACGUAGGGCGCGAGCGUUGUCCGGAUUUAUUGGGCGUAAAGAGCUCGUAGGCGGCUUGUUGCGUCAGCUGUGAAAACCCGCAGCUCAACUGUGGGCUUGCAGCUGAUACGGGCAGGCUUGAGUUCGGUAGGGGAGACUGGAAUUCCUGGUGUAGCGGUGAAAUGCGCAGAUAUCAGGAGGAACACCGGUGGCGAAGGCGCACAUCUGGCCCGAUACUGACGCUGAGGCGCGAAAGCUAGGGGAGCAAACGGG